UGGGGAAUAUUGGACAAUGGGCGGAAGCCUGAUCCAGCAACGCCGCGUGAGGGAUGACGGCCUUCGGGUUGUAAACCUCUUUCGGUAGGGACGAAGCGCAAGUGACGGUACCUACUAAAGAAGCACCGGCCAACUACGUGC
This 141-nucleotide ribosomal RNA is filed under the name uncultured bacterium. RNAcentral describes it as "partial 16S ribosomal RNA". It matches the Rfam family "Bacterial small subunit ribosomal RNA", at positions 355 to 508 of the family's 1533-position model. The record is from RNAcentral.